This 2330-nucleotide unclassified non-coding RNA is filed under the name Hevea brasiliensis (rubber tree). Lineage: Eukaryota; Viridiplantae; Streptophyta; Magnoliopsida; Malpighiales; Euphorbiaceae. The record is from RNAcentral.
AUAAAAUUAGUCAAGUAGUGCUGCAGAAACAAACUAUUAAUGUAGUGCACACAGCUGUAGUAAUAUCGAAAAGUAAUCCACAGCUAAAACAGUACACUUGUAUCGCCGGCGCCGGUGGCCACUAUGUUCUUAGGUGACCCCGUCGUUUCCGAUGUUUGUGCCGCCGUUGCAUCGGCCGCUGUCAUUUUCUCACUUCUUCAACUGUGGAAAGAAACAGCCAAGCUUGGGCUCGACCAGGUUAAUUGGCUAUCAUUGUGAAUUUAGUGUUAAUUUUUACUUCAUUUGUUGAAAUGUUGAUUUUUUUUUCCUCGUAAGAGCUUGUUUGUAUAAACAUGAAUUGGAACUCUGUUCUUGUUGCCUCCGUGCUCUUGUAUGUAUUUUUGGUUAGCCACCAAGAUCUCUUGAAAUUUCAUGUCAAAUAAACCCUAAAGGAAUUGGGGAUUUUCUUUCGGUGGAUACCUUGAAGCGACUAUGUUAAGAAACUUACCUUCUUUGACUUUUGUAGUCCGAUUGUUCUCUUUAUCACUGCUUUGCCUCUAGAAUUAAUCUUCUCUCUGUAUAACUGCCCUGCCUGUAGAAUCAAUCUUAUACACAACUUUAAUUUGUAGCCAAGACUAACUAGAAAACAAAAUAUUAGAGGGAAAACUAAAAGGUUCCAUAAGCAUCAUAUUUAGGAUAAAAUUGUAUCACACAAUCAGAAGCAGCACAAUCUCUCUAAUUUUCAAUUAAAUUUUAUGUAUAUAUCUUUCCUUCAUAUGAUGAUAUGUAAGUUGAACUAAUCUGUUGAAAUGAGAUCAAAAGAAUUCAGUUUUCUGUGCAGAUUUUACUAUGUGCAAAUCCCCCAUCUUCUGUCUCAUAGGUUGCUUAUAUUCUUAUCUUUUCCUGUUUAGAAACUGAAUCGGAAGCUUGUGCAUAUAAGCAUUGGUCUAGUUUUCAUGCUUGGCUGGCCGAUGUUCAGGUAAAUCUCAUGAUUAGUGGAGCUUUGCAUAAUUUACAUUUCUGGUUGAGAAAUAGCUAUCUCUAAACAUUGCAGUUCAGGGCAUCGUGGAGCAAUUAUGGCAGCUCUUACUCCAGGUGUCAACAUAUUCCGAAUGCUUCUCUUGGGUUUAGGGAUAUGGAAAGAUGAAGCCACAGUGAAAUCAAUGAGCAGAUUUGGGGACCACAGGUUAAAACUUUGGAUCAAAAUUUAUUUAGGUUUCCUCUUACAAUGUGAAAUAUGUUAAAUCUUCACACCUCAUAGUGGCUUUCUUCUUCAUCCUGCCCAGAGAGCUUAUUUUUAUUUUUCUCUGAAUCAAAUAUUGGCUUUUAAUUAUCAUAUAUGACAUGUAUUAAAAAGGGAACUGGUUAUGUUGAUAGUUACUUGACAUUUUUUUUUUUAUAUGGGUGCUAUUAUUUUGGAAGUAACUGAACUUCUUAAGAUGAAGUUUUCUGAGCAGAGUGUGAAACAAGCAAUCACUGAAUUUUCUGUGACUUCUCAGUUUGUUCUUAGCUUUUCUAUGCAUCAGGGAACUUCUUAAGGGACCACUCUACUAUGCUUUGACUGUUACUUUGGCUUGUGCAAUCUAUUGGAGGACAUCCCCAAUUGCAAUUGCAGCAAUAUGCAACUUGUGUGCUGGAGAUGGUACUUCCAUCUAUAUUCUAUAUUUUGUUGUUUUAUUGGACUCUUUUCUGUAUGAAAUUUUCAAUGCAAAAGGGAUACUUGAGACUCAUUUUGUGCUGUAGCUGUGAAAAUCCCUUCUGUUGGUUUCAGGAAUUGCAGACAUUGUGGGGAGGCGGUUUGGCAAAAAGAAAAUCCCCUACAACAGUGAUAAAUCCAUAGCUGGUAGCAUUGCCAUGGCACUGGCUGGUUUUUUAGCAUCUGUCUUGUUCAUGCAUUAUUUUGCCUCAUUUGGAUAUGUUCGUGAAAGUUGGGAAAUGGCAUUGGGUUUCUUAAUGGUCUCGCUUGCCUCUGCCUUCGUAGAAUCACUGCCCAUAAGUACCAGGCUCGAUGACAAUCUCACAGUUACCUUAACUUCUAUAUUGCUAGGAAGCCUAGUUUUCUGAUGUCGAGAACUAGCGUAAACUUCCAAUUGUUGGCCAACUCAUGUCAUUUAGAAGCAUUACAUCGUUGUUGGUCACUUCAUGUUUAGUUGAUAAUGUCUUCUUACUGUUUUCUCUGUGUAAUGAGGAUGGUCAAAUGAAAUACGCCGAAUUAUUGGACUUAAUAUUCUAUUUGUUUUCUCUUUUGGUGAUAAAAAAAACCACAUGAUAUCAGUGUAAAUUGCAGCGUAGUCGCUAAAUUUGUAACAGAAUUCUAUUCUGGUCAUUAAAUAUCAAUUUAUUAAAUUAAG